Molecule: small RNA, 130 nt
Filed under: Arabidopsis thaliana (thale cress)
Lineage: Eukaryota; Viridiplantae; Streptophyta; Magnoliopsida; Brassicales; Brassicaceae
Description: ATSL102490
Source: RNAcentral
AAAAAUAAUAAUAAUAAAAUAAUUGAAAGAAUCAAGGAGAGAUGUGUGUCCUUCUAUGGAUAUUGAAGACCCUUUAACACUUAUUUAAAGACACUUUCUUUCAUGUGUCUCCUUUUAAAUAGUCAAUUUA